Molecule: ribosomal RNA, 2459 nt
Filed under: Klebsiella pneumoniae
Lineage: Bacteria; Pseudomonadati; Pseudomonadota; Gammaproteobacteria; Enterobacterales; Enterobacteriaceae
Description: partial 23S ribosomal RNA
Rfam family: Bacterial large subunit ribosomal RNA
Source: RNAcentral
UGUGAACUCGAAGAGUAGGGCGGGACACGUGGUAUCCUGUCUGAAUAUGGGGGGACCAUCCUCCAAGGCUAAAUACUCCUGACUGACCGAUAGUGAACCAGUACCGUGAGGGAAAGGCGAAAAGAACCCCGGCGAGGGGAGUGAAAAAGAACCUGAAACCGUGUACGUACAAGCAGUGGGAGCACCUUCGGGUGUGACUGCGUACCUUUUGUAUAAUGGGUCAGCGACUUAUAUUCUGUAGCAAGGUUAACCGUAUAGGGGAGCCGCAGGGAAACCGAGUCUUAACUGGGCGUUAAGUUGCAGGGUAUAGACCCGAAACCCGGUGAUCUAGCCAUGGGCAGGUUGAAGGUUGGGUAACACUAACUGGAGGACCGAACCGACUAAUGUUGAAAAAUUAGCGGAUGACUUGUGGCUGGGGGUGAAAGGCCAAUCAAACCGGGAGAUAGCUGGUUCUCCCCGAAAGCUAUUUAGGUAGCGCCUCGUGAACUCAUCUUCGGGGGUAGAGCACUGUUUCGGCUAGGGGGUCAUCCCGACUUACCAACCCGAUGCAAACUACGAAUACCGAAGAAUGUUAUCACGGGAGACACACGGCGGGUGCUAACGUCCGUCGUGAAGAGGGAAACAACCCAGACCGCCAGCUAAGGUCCCAAAGUCAUGGUUAAGUGGGAAACGAUGUGGGAAGGCACAGACAGCCAGGAUGUUGGCUUAGAAGCAGCCAUCAUUUAAAGAAAGCGUAAUAGCUCACUGGUCGAGUCGGCCUGCGCGGAAGAUGUAACGGGGCUAAACCAUGCACCGAAGCUGCGGCAGCGACACUAUGUGUUGUUGGGUAGGGGAGCGUUCUGUAAGCCUGCGAAGGUGUGCUGUGAGGCAUGCUGGAGGUAUCAGAAGUGCGAAUGCUGACAUAAGUAACGAUAAAGCGGGUGAAAAGCCCGCUCGCCGGAAGACCAAGGGUUCCUGUCCAACGUUAAUCGGGGCAGGGUGAGUCGACCCCUAAGGCGAGGCCGAAAGGCGUAGUCGAUGGGAAACAGGUUAAUAUUCCUGUACUUGGUGUUACUGCGAAGGGGGGACGGAGAAGGCUAUGUUAGCCGGGCGACGGUUGUCCCGGUUUAAGCAUGUAGGCUGGUUNUCCAGGCAAAUCCGGAUAANCAAGGCUGAGGUGUGAUGACGAGGCACUACGGUGCUGAAGUAACAAAUGCCCUGCUUCCAGGAAAAGCCUCUAAGCAUCAGGUAACAUCAAAUCGUACCCCAAACCGACACAGGUGGUCAGGUAGAGAAUACCAAGGCGCUUGAGAGAACUCGGGUGAAGGAACUAGGCAAAAUGGUGCCGUAACUUCGGGAGAAGGCACGCUGGUGUGUAGGUGAAGNCCCUGCGGNUGGAGCUGAGACCAGUCGAAGAUACCAGCUGGCUGCAACUGUUUAUUAAAAACACAGCACUGUGCAAACACGAAAGUGGACGUAUACGGUGUGACGCCUGCCCGGUGCCGGAAGGUUAAUUGAUGGGGUUAUCCGUAAGGAGAAGCUCUUGAUCGAAGCCCCGGUAAACGGCGGCCGUAACUAUAACGGUCCUAAGGUAGCGAAAUUCCUUGUCGGGUAAGUUCCGACCUGCACGAAUGGCGUAAUGAUGGCCAGGCUGUCUCCACCCGAGACUCAGUGAAAUUGAACUCGCUGUGAAGAUGCAGUGUACCCGCGGCAAGACGGAAAGACCCCGUGAACCUUUACUAUAGCUUGACACUGAACAUUGAGCCUUGAUGUGUAGGAUAGGUGGGAGGCUUUGAAGCGUGGACGCCAGUCUGCGUGGAGCCAACCUUGAAAUACCACCCUUUAAUGUUUGAUGUUCUAACGUUGGCCCCUUACCGGGGUUGCGGACAGUGUCUGGUGGGUAGUUUGACUGGGGCGGUCUCCUCCCAAAGCGUAACGGAGGAGCACGAAGGUUAGCUAAUCCUGGUCGGACAUCAGGAGGUUAGUGCAAUGGCAUAAGCUAGCUUGACUGCGAGCGUGACGGCGCGAGCAGGUGCGAAAGCAGGUCAUAGUGAUCCGGUGGUUCUGAAUGGAAGGGCCAUCGCUCAACGGAUAAAAGGUACUCCGGGGAUAACAGGCUGAUACCGCCCAAGAGUUCAUAUCGACGGCGGUGUUUGGCACCUCGAUGUCGGCUCAUCACAUCCUGGGGCUGAAGUAGGUCCCAAGGGUAUGGCUGUUCGCCAUUUAAAGUGGUACGCGAGCUGGGUUUAGAACGUCGUGAGACAGUUCGGUCCCUAUCUGCCGUGGGCGCUGGAGAAUUGAGGGGGGCUGCUCCUAGUACGAGAGGACCGGAGUGGACGCAUCACUGGUGUUCGGGUUGUCAUGCCAAUGGCACUGCCCGGUAGCUAAAUGCGGAAGAGAUAAGUGCUGAAAGCAUCUAAGCACGAAACUUGCCCCGAGAUGAGUUCUCCCUGAGACUUUAAGUCUCCUGAAGGAACGUU